This 2780-nucleotide long non-coding RNA is filed under the name Homo sapiens (human). RNAcentral's name for it is "HSALNT0004088". The record is from RNAcentral. Lineage: Eukaryota; Metazoa; Chordata; Mammalia; Primates; Hominidae.
UAACAACAUAACCAGGAAGAGGAGCCCCUUCCUUUGCUACAGCAUAGCAUUCCCCCUGCCCCAAGUGCCAUAUGUUGAGAAAGAAUAAUAUUGUGCUGAAGGAGAAAUGCUUACAGGGUCCAGCUCCAGUAUCAAUAUACAAAGCAAAAAGGGAGAAUUUGGAGCUGAGAGACAAUAUUUUGAUCCCUGGCACAGCCCAUCCCUUUGGCUACCUGACUUCCAAAUGCGCCCUCUACAUACUUCACCUUCCACACAAACACCUCAAGGCCACACAGAUAACAACUCAUGUUUCCAAUUAAGACAAUGCAGCUAUCUUUUGUACAAGUGGAAAAAUUCUCACUCUUUCACCAAAAUGAAGAGACAGAGUCCUGGCCACUGUUGUUUCAAUUGCUGACAAUAUUCAUUACUCCUUAAAUUCUGCACAGUACCUAAAGGCUAAAUUGAGGUUCUCCUCCAACAGCUUGAAUAUAAAAUAGUAAGAGAGAAAGGAUAUAGUUAAUUGAUACACAUACAUAUGUACACAUAACAUGUGCAAAGAGAAAAUAUGCAAAGCUACAACCGUCCUCUUUGUAGAAACUGCUCGCAAGCACAUAGAUAGUAUUUGUGACUUCCUUCUUCCACUACCCUUUCCAUAUUUUCUUUGCCCUCAACUAGAACCUCAGUUGGGCGGGUUCUUUAUCUGACAGAGUAACCCAAGUGGUCAUUCCUUAAGAGUUUGUGUCCUCACCAGGCUCAGUCACUUGCACCUGUAAUCCCAGCACUUUGGGAGGCCGAAGCUGGCGGAUCACUUGAAGCCAGGAGUUUGAGACCAGCCUUGCUAACAUGGUCACACCUCGUCUCUACUAAAAGUACAAAAAUUAGCCUGGUGUCAUGGCAUACAACUAUAGUCCCAGCUACUCAGGAGGCUGAAGCAAAAGAAUGGCUUGAACCCAGGAGGGGAAGGUUGCAGUGAGCCAAGAUUGUACCACUGCACUUCAGCCUGGGUGACAGAGUGAGACUGUCUCAAAAAAAAAAAAAAAAAAAAAAAAAAAAAGAGUCUGUGUCCUUAAUGGUCCUUUCUUGGAUGCUGUAGUUUUCAGGAACCUUUAUUCUGGGACACAGAGGAAAUUAGAAGGGCCCCCAGAGAAUCCCCUAAGUUCUAGGCAAAGCCUUCUUUCCCCCAAAUUGUAUAGCAACCAACAAAUUUCCCUUUGGUAAUUUGGCUCAAUCACUGUAAUCAGCACAGUAACCUCUUUUUCUUCUUGUUGAUUUAAGGGCAUCAGAAGCCCCAAAUAGAGAAGCGGCAGUCUCGUUUCCAAUGCAAUGGAAAAUGCGAGUGGGGAAGAGCAAGCCCUUAGGAGGCAGCCAGUCACUAUCUUUUAGAGGAAAAUAAAUUGUCUUCCUGAUCUGACAAGCUUGCUGCUGCCUGAGGCUGGAGUGUGUUGCGGCAGGGAUGGACACUCCCAGGAGCUGGGAGAGGCUUGCCUUCACUUCCUAGGGCUGCGGUAACAAAUUCACACAAACUGGGGGCUGCAAACAACAGGCAUGCUUUGUCUCACAGUUCUGGAGGCUAACGUCUGAAAUCGAUGUGUGGGCAGGCUUGGUUCCCUCUGGUGGCUAUGAGGUCUCGCUCACCUUCUGGGGGCUGCCUGCAAUCCUUGGUGUCCCUUGGAUUCAAGAGGCAUCCUUCCCGUCUUUGCCCCACCCUCACAGCACCAUCUUCUCUAUGUGUGUCUUCUUUUCUGUCUCUUCUAUGCACACUUAUCAUUUGAUUUAGGGGCCCCUCUAAGCUCUAAGCCAGGAAAAUCUCACCUUGAAAUCUUCAUUUUAAUUAUAUCUGCAAAGACCCUUCUUCCAAAUAAGAUUGGAUAUUGAGGUUCUCUUUUGGGAAACCACUAUUCAAUCUAGGUACCCUGUGUUCCUGUUCGAGCUGGGUCAAUACUUUGCUGCCUGGCCUUGAGCAAGUCACUUUGCCUUUCUGGGUCUCAGUUUCUCUUAGAUCGUCUCCUACAUUGCUUACAGGUAGAAUGUGCCAAUAGAGUGAGGGGUCCCAGGAAAUGGUUCAGACCAAGCUUCCUUCAUUCAACAGUGAUGCUCCUGCUCUGUACUAGCCUCAGUGCUGUAUCCCAGGGAGGCAGACGACCCCGAGCCUUGUACCUCCAGCCACUAAGAACAAAGUUUAGAGGGAAAGCAGACCUUGGAGUAGCUGAUUACAACAGACUAGAAUGGGUGCUUUGAAAGGUCAGCGCCUUGCUUCAUUCACACCGUGAAAGUCCUGGCACCAUUUGUAAUUGAUGAAUCAUUUUAAAUGGACAUAUUUUGCAGCCAGGGAGAGCUGUGAGAGGACACAACCUGAGUGUUUGUUGGAGCACAGAGGAAAGGCAACUGGCCUUGUCUUGGAGGAUCCAGAUGGGUUCCUAGCAGAGAUAGGGUCCAAACAGAGGCCUGAAGGACAAGUGAGUGUGAGAUGAGGGAGGGGACAGGGUGCUGCUCCAGGUACAACCAUAGCACGUGCAUGGGGCAGAGGUGAGAGAGAGCCUGUUCCCCGCCAGGAUGGAUAAGUGGCUUAUAAUGACAGUAUAACUGCCCAAGGUCACACACCUCUUAAGAGGUAGAGCUAAGACUUGACUCCAAGAAGUCAGAUUCUAGAGCCAAAGUAUGAUAACAUGUUGAGGAAAUGUGGUGUCAUCCAUCGGAAACCAUUUAAUAAAUUCUAUUCAGAUUGGCUUAAAUGCUCAUAUCAACUAUAUACUAAUUAACUGAAAUUUAUUUUAGUGCAUUUAAUUGAAGUAAUUUUUGAG